Molecule: non-coding RNA, 571 nt
Organism: Lemur catta (Ring-tailed lemur)
Lineage: Eukaryota; Metazoa; Chordata; Mammalia; Primates; Lemuridae
Source: the annotation of a RefSeq genome assembly
GAAGGCAGCACUCGGGACAGUCUCCACCAUGGCCUGGGCCCCUCUGCUCCUCACCCUCCUGGCUCACUGCACAGGGUCCUGGGCCCAGUCUGGGCUGACUCAGCCGCCCUCGGUGUCUGGAGCCCCGGGGCAGAGGGUCACCAUCUCUUGCAGCAACAUCCAGGGUAGUUAUGUGCACUGGCACCAGCAGCUCCCAGGAACGGCCCCCAGACUCCUCAUCUAUGUUAAUAGUGACAGACCCUCAGGGGUCCCUGCCCGAUUCUCUGGCUCCAAGUCUGGCAGCUCGGCCUCCCUGACCAUCACAGGGCUCCAGGCUGAGGACGAGGCUGACUAUUAUUGCCAGUCCUAUGACAGCAGCCUGAAUUCAGGAGCAGUUUUCCCCGGGGGACAUUCAUGGACUUGCAUUCUCACUGUUGCCACCUGCUCACCCUUGUCUGGUCCACAAAACCCGCCUCCUCCGUCCUACAAGCUGCAGGUGCAGAGCUCCUUCUGGGUUCCAAGGUCUAACUCCCGCAGUUACACCCCCUCCCCAGCCCGGACAGGUGCCCUUAUCCCCAUUUUACUGAUAUGA